AUUGAACGCUGGCGGAAUGCUUUACACAUGCAAGUCGAGCGGCAGCGCGGGGCAACCUGGCGGCGAGCGGCGAACGGGUGAGUAAUGCAUCGGAACAUGUCCAUGGAUGGGGGAUAGCCCGGCGAAAGCCGGAUUAAUACCGCAUGAGCCCGAGAGGGGAAAGUGGGGGACCGCAGGGCCUCACGUCGAUGGGUUGGCCGAUGCCCGAUUAGCUAGUUGGUGAGGUAAUGGCUCACCAAGGCGAUGAUCGGUAGCUGGUCUGAGAGGAUGAUCAGCCACACUGGGACUGAGACACGGCCCAGACUCCUACGGGAGGCAGCAGUGGGGAAUUUUGGACAAUGGGGGCAACCCUGAUCCAGCCAUUCCGCGUGAGUGAAGAAGGCCUUCGGGUUGUAAAGCUCUUUUGUCCGGAGCGAAACGGGGCGCGUGAAUAUCGCGCUCUACUGACGGUACCGGAAGAAUAAGCACCGGCUAACUACGUGCCAGCAGCCGCCGUAA
RNAcentral lists this ribosomal RNA (498 nucleotides) under uncultured bacterium. RNAcentral describes it as "partial 16S ribosomal RNA". It matches the Rfam family "Bacterial small subunit ribosomal RNA", at positions 29 to 523 of the family's 1533-position model. The record is from RNAcentral.